Molecule: ribosomal RNA, 504 nt
Filed under: uncultured bacterium
Lineage: Bacteria
Description: partial 16S ribosomal RNA
Rfam family: Bacterial small subunit ribosomal RNA
Source: RNAcentral
GACGAACGCUGGCGGCGUGCCUAAUACAUGCAAGUAGAACGCACAGUUUAUACCGUAGCUUGCUACACCAUAGACUGUGAGUUGCGAACGGGUGAGUAACGCGUAGGUAACCUGCCUGGUAGCGGGGGAUAACUAUUGGAAACGAUAGCUAAUACCGCAUAAUAUUGAUUAUUGCAUGAUAAUUGAUUGAAAGAUGCUAUUGCAUCACUACCAGAUUGACAUGCGUUGUAUUAGCUAGUAGGUGAGGUAACGGCCGACCAAGGCGACGACACAUAGCCGACUGGGGGGGUGGUCGGCCAACAUUGGACUGAGGACACGGCCAGAAUUCUACGGGGAGGAGGAAGAGGGGAACAUUGGCAAAGGACGAAAGGCCGGCCGAGGAACGCCGGGGGGGGGGAGGAGGGUCUCGGAUCGUAAAGCUCUGUUGUAUGAGAAGGACGAGUGUGAGAGUGAAAAGUUCACACUGUGACGGUAUCUUACCAGAAAGCAACGGCUAACUACGUG